GUCUAUUUAGAGUUGAAACGUGGCAUGAAUUGAGUCCCAUAAGUGCUAAUUUCAAUUAAUUUCAACUCUAAUUCAUGCCACGUUUCAACUCUAAAUAGGUCA
This 102-nucleotide microRNA precursor is filed under the name Vigna radiata var. radiata (mung bean). RNAcentral's name for it is "pre miRNA MIR403". The record is from RNAcentral. Lineage: Eukaryota; Viridiplantae; Streptophyta; Magnoliopsida; Fabales; Fabaceae.